Molecule: ribosomal RNA, 1443 nt
Filed under: uncultured organism
Description: 16S ribosomal RNA
Rfam family: Bacterial small subunit ribosomal RNA
Source: RNAcentral
CUAGCUACAGGCUUAACACAUGCAAGUCGAGGGGCAGCAUGGUCUUAGCUUGCUAAGGCCGAUGGCGACCGGCGCACGGGUGAGUAACACGUAUCCAACCUGCCGUCUACUCUUGGACAGCCUUCUGAAAGGAAGAUUAAUACAAGAUGGCAUCAUGAGUCCGCAUGUUCACAUGAUUAAAGGUAUUCCGGUAGACGAUGGGGAUGCGUUCCAUUAGAUAGUAGGCGGGGUAACGGCCCACCUAGUCUUCGAUGGAUAGGGGUUCUGAGAGGAAGGUCCCCCACAUUGGAACUGAGACACGGUCCAAACUCCUACGGGAGGCAGCAGUGAGGAAUAUUGGUCAAUGGGCGAGAGCCUGAACCAGCCAAGUAGCGUGAAGGAUGACUGCCCUAUGGGUUGUAAACUUCUUUUAUAAAGGAAUAAAGUCGGGUAUGCAUACCCGUUUGCAUGUACUUUAUGAAUAAGGAUCGGCUAACUCCGUGCCAGCAGCCGCGGUAAUACGGAGGAUCCGAGCGUUAUCCGGAUUUAUUGGGUUUAAAGGGAGCGUAGAUGGAUGUUUAAGUCAGUUGUGAAAGUUUGCGGCUCAACCGUAAAAUUGCAGUUGAUACUGGAUAUCUUGAGUGCAGUUGAGGCAGGCGGAAUUCGUGGUGUAGCGGUGAAAUGCUUAGAUAUCACGAAGAACUCCGAUUGCGAAGGCAGCCUGCUAAGCUGCAACUGACAUUGAGGCUCGAAAGUGUGGGUAUCAAACAGGAUUAGAUACCCUGGUAGUCCACACGGUAAACGAUGAAUACUCGCUGUUUGCGAUAUACAGCAAGCGGCCAAGCGAAAGCGUUAAGUAUUCCACCUGGGGAGUACGCCGGCAACGGUGAAACUCAAAGGAAUUGACGGGGGCCCGCACAAGCGGAGGAACAUGUGGUUUAAUUCGAUGAUACGCGAGGAACCUUACCCGGGCUUAAAUUGCAGAUGAAUUACGGUGAAAGCCGUAAGCCGCAAGGCAUCUGUGAAGGUGCUGCAUGGUUGUCGUCAGCUCGUGCCGUGAGGUGUCGGCUUAAGUGCCAUAACGAGCGCAACCCUUGUUGUCAGUUACUAACAGGUCAUGCUGAGGACUCUGACAAGACUGCCAUCGUAAGAUGUGAGGAAGGUGGGGAUGACGUCAAAUCAGCACGGCCCUUACGUCCGGGGCUACACACGUGUUACAAUGGGGGGUACAGAGGGCCGCUACCACGCGAGUGGAUGCCAAUCCCCAAAACCUCUCUCAGUUCGGACUGGAGUCUGCAACCCGACUCCACGAAGCUGGAUUCGCUAGUAAUCGCGCAUCAGCCACGGCGCGGUGAAUACGUUCCCGGGCCUUGUACACACCGCCCGUCAAGCCAUGGGAGCCGGGGGUACCUGAAGUGCGUAACCGCGAGGAGCGCCCUAGGGUAAAACUGGUGACUGGGGCUA